UACGGAGGGUGCAAGCGUUAUCCGGAUUCACUGGGUUUAAAGGGUGCGUAGGCGUCCUUGUAAGUUUUCGGUGAAAUCCUCAAGCUUAACUUGAGAACUGCCGAGAAUACUACUAGGAUUGAGUACAGUUGAGGUGGGCGGAAUGUGUCAUGUAGCGGUGAAAUGCUUAGAUAUGACCCAGAACACCAAUUGCGAAGGCAACUCGCUAAACUGUAACUGACGCUGAGGCACGAAAGCGUGGGUAGCAAACAGG
RNAcentral lists this ribosomal RNA (253 nucleotides) under uncultured bacterium. RNAcentral's name for it is "partial 16S ribosomal RNA". It matches the Rfam family "Bacterial small subunit ribosomal RNA", at positions 524 to 776 of the family's 1533-position model. The record is from RNAcentral.